AGAAUCAACGCUGGCGGCGUGCCUAACACAUGCAAGUCGCACGAGAAAGGGGAGCAAUCCCUGAGUACAGUGGCGCACGGGUGAGUAACACGUGAAUAAUCUACCUCCGAGUGGGGAAUAACUGAGAGAAAUCUUAGCUAAUACCGCAUAACACUUACGAGUCAAAGCAGCAAUGCGCUUGGAGAGGAGUUCGCGGCAGAUUAGUUAGUUGGCGGGGUAAUGGCCCACCAAGACGAUGAUCUGUAUCCGGCCUGAGAGGGCGCACGGACACACUGGAACUGAAACACGGUCCAGACUCCUACGGGGGGCAGCAGUGGGGAAUUUUGCGCAAUGGGGGAAACCCUGACGCAGCAACGCCGCGUGGAGGAUGAAGCCCCUUGGGGUGUAAACUCCUUUCGAUCGGGAAGAUAAUGACGGUACCGAUAUAAGAAGCCCCGGCUAACUUCGUGCCAGCAGCCGC
RNAcentral lists this ribosomal RNA (460 nucleotides) under uncultured bacterium. Its description in RNAcentral is "SSU rRNA". It matches the Rfam family "Bacterial small subunit ribosomal RNA", at positions 26 to 518 of the family's 1533-position model. The record is from RNAcentral.